Molecule: ribosomal RNA, 309 nt
Filed under: Triticum aestivum (bread wheat)
Lineage: Eukaryota; Viridiplantae; Streptophyta; Magnoliopsida; Poales; Poaceae
Description: partial small subunit ribosomal RNA
Source: RNAcentral
AUGGAGAUGGCAGUGGCUGCACUCACGCUCCUGUUCCUCAGCCAUCUGAGUGGCCUUCUUGGAUUGAUUGUCUGGUGGCGGCGUGGUGUUAUUGGUUUGCUCAACAUUCGCCAUCAUUUCAUCAAUUCACAGCAGUGGCUAUUGGUUCGGCCCUUCUGCUCAUGCGAAUCUGUGUUUACUCAGGAUCCAGCCUACGCGCAUGAUCUAGCCGAGGCGGGGGGCGCUCGAUCCAAUUCGACGCGGGGGCAAUCCAUCGCAGCAAGGGGGAAAUGGAGGGAUGCGGGUGUUGCAAGCCGACGCUUCAUCUGA